AAAGAAACUUUUUAUCCCAGGAAAAAUUUUGAAGAGCUGGACCUUACCAAAUCUCAAAAGAGUGAAAAGAGCAUCCUAGAAGGGAGGAUAAAGCCAACAAUCUUUCGGAAACCGUUCUCCUAUCUACUGGGCAUUAUCUCAAGCAGCAAAUGGGCUGAACGAGGACAAACAUCAGUACAAGGGGC
RNAcentral lists this long non-coding RNA (185 nucleotides) under Mustela putorius furo (domestic ferret). RNAcentral's name for it is "lncRNA (ENSMPUG00000025322.1)". The record is from RNAcentral. Lineage: Eukaryota; Metazoa; Chordata; Mammalia; Carnivora; Mustelidae.